Zingiber officinale is the source of this 592-nucleotide long non-coding RNA. RefSeq lists it as uncharacterized. The record is from RefSeq and is a predicted model, not a curated record. The transcript is spliced from 2 exons. Lineage: Eukaryota; Viridiplantae; Streptophyta; Magnoliopsida; Zingiberales; Zingiberaceae.
UGCGACAUCAUGCCCAAUCCCUUCUCGGUUAGCGAAUCUUCCUCACGGGCUAGGGUUUGCGACACAUCCACACCGCCGACGCCUCUCUUCUUCCUUCUCUCUGCGGCGACGACAGCAGCAAUCUCAGCGGGGCAGCGAGUGACAGCGACGAUCCCGACCAUAUUCACCUCACCGGAGGGGUUCUCCGGUGUGAUCUCCACUGUCCGGCUUUCUUCUGGAAACUCCACUUCUUGGGGUUCAGGCGGUGGAGCAAGGAGGAGGCGACAGCAGGUAUUCCACCAUUUCGAGCCACUUCCAGCGAUGGUUCUCUGUUGGAAGAUCCGUAUCCUAUUAUUUUCGAAGCAAGCAGCAACCAGCGGAGAGAGCUACUGUUCACUAGUUUGUGGGGGUUCCGAGUCGGGCCUUUCGUGUGAUGGCGAAGGGUAGUCUUUGGUAAUCGGAAACGGAUGUGUGGAUUGUGGUUUGGAUAAUUAGAAUUUUCUUGUUUAGUUAGUUUAAUUUGGUUCAUUGUUAAUGUUUGUGUUGAAUUGUGAUUGAAUGCUUGUAUUAACUUGAUCUUUCAUGUUUAAAUUGCACAUAUUAUGUUCAAUUU